UUGGCCUACGGGAGGCAGCAGUGAGGGAUAUUGGUCAAUGGGGGAAACCCUGAACCAGCAACGCCGCGUGAGGGAAGACGGUUUUCGGAUUGUAAACCUCUGUCCUCUGUGAAGAUAAUGACGGUAGCAGAGGAGGAAGCUCCGGCUAACUACGUGCCAGCAGCCGCGGUAAUACGUAGGGGGCGAGCGUUAUCCGGAUUUACUGGGUGUAAAGGGGGCGCAGACGGCCAUGGCAAGCCCGGUGUGAAAGGUGCGGGCACAACCCGCAGACUGCACUGGUAACGGCCUGGCUGGAGUGCCGGGGG
Molecule: ribosomal RNA, 305 nt
Filed under: uncultured bacterium
Lineage: Bacteria
Description: bacterial SSU rRNA
Rfam family: Bacterial small subunit ribosomal RNA
Source: RNAcentral